UGGAAGCCAAGAAACAUCACAAGCAGAUAGCGCAAAUGAUUUCUAAGCCCAGGACAGGGGGUGAAGGUGGAUUAUACUGAGCAAGGAAGUCACAAGAACCAUGUCAGCAACCCCCCCCCCUCUAUCCUGCACAUUUUUCUGACUGAGGCUCAUUUCUAUCUGAAGUUGCCACAGGGAUGAAGUAGGACCAACCAGCUUCCUGUUCCAGCCACCAUGCCUUUCUGCCUCUUGCCAGCCAUGUCUUCCCCGACCUGUUCCUGGAGGUUCAGAGAAGCUGGUGUAAAUGUCCUGCCUAGAACUGAGCACUCUACAGCUACUUCUUCUCACCCUAGAACAGGAUCGAUCUCUGCACCCUCCACUGUUCAAUGCGAGGAGAAGCUUCUCUGAUUAAGGUUGAGAGUACAUUUGCUGAUGGGUAUAAACAUAAUAUUCGCAAGGCAGCUUGAUGCAUGUCAAUUUAUUGAAAUGAUAAU
Mus caroli (Ryukyu mouse) is the source of this 473-nucleotide long non-coding RNA. RefSeq lists it as uncharacterized. NCBI's taxonomy places the organism in Eukaryota, Metazoa, Chordata, Mammalia, Rodentia, Muridae. The record is from RefSeq and is a predicted model, not a curated record.